AGGUUUAUCACCACAAGCACUUUAAGGAUGUUUCCCCUACACUGAAUUCCUAAAGAUCCUUGGAUCGGGUCCUGAGGUUCAGCCCUUGACCUAAAAGAAUUUGGGAACCUACACUUGGGCAACCAAAAUGCUUUUUUUUGGUUUGAGCUUUUCAGACUUGAACUGUAGGAUCAUUUUGUGUUUACUGCUGCACACGAUCCUGAUCCUCAUCUCUGAAAGGACAGCUGCCAAACAGGGAAAGCUUCAGAGAACAGCAACAAAAAUGAUCAGGAGAUUAGAAUACCUUCCAGACGAGGAAUAAGUAAAUGAACUGAAGCAUUUCAGUUCAGCAUUUGAGCAAGGGGAAGAAGGAGGUGCCAGAGGUCUAUAAAUUGAUAAUACAAGAUAUUCUCUUCCAAUACAACAACGAAGUGGCCUGGAAUGAAACCAGUAAGUUGUAGGUUUUUUUUUUUCUUUGCACAUGAAUCUUUGGUGCAGGGUGAUGGGGAAGGUAAAAGUAAAAUAUAAACCAGGUCAAAUCUCAGAAAGAGAAAGCCAUUGUUACCUAUUAAACACAAAUACAGCAUUUUCUCUGUUUCAGAAGUCCUGAGCCACGUUUGCUGGUGACUGGGAGAGUAUUCUAAGGAAGUAUUAUGCAGGUUAUGCUGGGCACAUCAUUCCCUGCCCUUGAGGAUUCCUCAGGUUGUAAAGUGUGACUGCCACAAUAGAGCUGUCAUGAGUGAUAUAUUGGAGGAACAAGGUUGAAUUCAUGUUCAUCACAGAUUAAAAGAAGAUUGCACUGCAACUACUUUGCAGACAGAAGUUUCUUAGUCCCACAGUAAAAGCUACAAAAAGAGGAAUCAACCUUUCCUUCCUGGAGCAAGGAGACAAGCACAGUCCCAAGAGCUUCAACUCCUUUUAGCACAACUCCGAUGCUUUUUCUCACUGCCUGCACCCAGGAACACAACAGUGGGGAAAAUGUGAUUUCAGGCACUUGAAAUCUUCACCUUUGAGAAGCAGAGCAACAGGGCUGUGAGUGUGAUGGAGUUCUGUACGAGCUAAGUGUGAUCAGGAAACGCUUUGGCUCAGGAUGAGCAUCCUGCAGGAUGGGGACUUUGGCAGUGAACCCGCUCAGCCGAUGCCAAGGCUCAAGCACCAGCAACUGUGGAAAGGAUUUCUGGAGCUGAGGUACUGCCAUCUGUAAGGGGGACAGGUGAAAAGUUUGACUCUGGAGAAAUUUCAGAGUAUGUGAGAAAGAGGAAGAGACACGGAAACAAGAGGCAAAGAGAUGCAGGAGGGGAUGUGGCAACUUCCUCUGUGACAGCAGUGGAUGCAGAAGACACAGCUGGGGGCAGUUGAGGAAAAAAAAGGGUAGAGAUUGGCAGGAAUUAGGAAUGAACACGUGAAUGGAAGCCUUGAUGAAGUUAUGUUUACGACAGGAGUUAUUUUUAUUUCCAACCAGACAUGCCUGGUUCAUUACCUGGAUGUGCCUCUACCUUCUCCUAACUAUCUGCCUUUCUUUUCUUGGGAAUGGGGUGUGAUCAGAUGUUGACUAAAGUGGUCCUGAAGUACCUGCUUUUCACCACUUUCAUACUCAGUGCUUGCUGCUACCAAUCCUGCUAUGUUGUCCGGGACACCCUUCUUUUCCUCGAUCCCACUGUGAGCCUCCACACUCCCAUUUCAGCCCUAGUCUGAUUUCCAGGCCCUACUCUGAUGUUCCAUGCAUUUAUGGUCAACGGGAAAGUCCAAAGGGGUUUUUAGGAGUGCAUGACUUCUCUAUUCACCUGAGCAGAUGACACCAACAUGCUCGUCGUGCCCGCAGUUGUGUCUGCCCCAGCCGGCGUGCGGGCAGUCCCACAGGUGAGACUCCAUCCCCUUGCACCGCACGUCAUCCAGAUGGAUGCCUUUCCUACCGGGGCCAAAGUAGGACCCUCCCAAGACAGAGAGAGCUUCACCACACUUCAGCUGCCUGCACACGACGUUGGCGCCGUUCAUGUUGAAAUAAUCGUCGCAGACCACGCCCCAUUUACCACCGUGGAAAACUUCGACCCUGCCGGCGCAUCGGUGCCACCCGGCCGCCAGCUGCAGCUGUGGUGGCUGUGGACCUGAAGCAAAAUUCGACAGGGUACAUCCAGACACCCGGAUGAGGAGAUCCAGAUCACGGAGCUGCUCCGGACUGGCUGUAGAGACCUCCCCAAACACUCCCCGGGCACCUCUGUGGCCCUGUGCUGAUGAUGUGGUUGUUCCAGGAAGCUGUGAUUUGCUUUUGGAGAUUAGGCUGUUUGCCAGGUGCUGGCCAUGAUCAGUGCCCUGCCACAAGUGGAAGUCCAGGAUGUUCUGAAGUGAAAGGUAUUUUUGCAUGCUGAAGAACGAUUGGAGGAAAGGGCAAAUCCCAGAUGAAGUGAAUCACAUCUGUGAUAACAUAACCUGCAGGCAGGUUCCCCCUGUUUAGGGUUAAUUUACUGCAAAAGUGGAAACCUUCCCUCUGCAGCCACCUUCUUUGGACAAAACUGAGUAUUGGGUGGGUCUGGCUUUCCAGUCCCAGAGCAGAGCUGGCCUUGGGGUGAGGAUUCACCAUCCUGUCUCUGGAAGCCUCAGUCCACCCCUGGGAGGGAAAAAUCUUUGCCAGAGGUGCAGGUUAUGCCAAAGUCAAGGAGUAUUGGUGACCUUGGCUGCACCCAUGGUGGGACAGGCCAUUUCAUCCUGCUGCCCAGCUAAGGCUUCGUGUCAACACACCUUGCUUGCCUUGGCAGGUGCUGCAUUCUUGCAGCUCUUCCUGCUUUUUCCACUUCCAUGUGGACAAUGGUCUUAGUGGGAAGGUUUUCUCAGCUCCUAACAAAUCCCUUUGACCUCAGCAGGUACCACGGGCUGGGGUCACACAGAGUACCACCAGCACCAGUGACAUUCUCCAGCAGCCUUUAAACAUUUGUCAUUGCAAACCUUUUAGUGGCUUUUUAGUGCACUGGGGGGGUGCCAGGGAUGGAGGUGUCACCAGUACUGCCUUUACAUUGAAGUAGAUUUUGACAGUAAAAUCAGUGCAGUAAGACACGUGGACUGAAGUGCACAAGUCUGAUUCUUGUGAAGAAAAAAAUUCAUUUUUGAAAGAUACAUUUCUAUUUAGAGCUUUUUCUCUGGAGAAAUUGGGGAGACCAUAACAAAUGUUCAGGAUUUUAAUUCAGAGGCAUCUCUACAUAAGAUUAAUCACUGCAUUGUUGAUUAAAAAUUGCACAGAGAUAACACAUAAACCAGCACUUAAACGGGCAACCCCCAACCCAAUCAACUCCCAAAUUAAAGUUAAAAAAAAGCUCAAAUCACAGUAGAGGAGAGAGGAGAACCCUGAGCCAGUGCUUCCACUGAUUUGGAUUAAUUGACUCCUCCUGAUGCUCCUUCUCAUGAGGAAUGUUUAACUCAGGAAACAAAGCUGAUUAGAUAAAUUCACUAAUGUUUCUCUGGAGAAAACCCUGGGAGUUGUGGCAGCAUGAAACUCAAGGAUUUUUUUUAUUUUUUUUUUAAUGCAGUACUAGAGGGCUUCAGCAGGACCCUUGCAUGAUUCCUGCUGACUUUUUGACUUUGUAAUAGAUAAAAUUAGUUGGCAAAAAGCUUUCUUCAUUAUUCCUCAUUGAGAACUCCAGAGAGGCCAAACAGGCACAUGUGAAGGACACUUUACUCUUCUGUGAUAAAUUUCUGAAAGUGCAUCCAAGACUUCCAUCGGCUUGCAGUGUGAUUUGCUGAGCAGUGAGAGGGGCUGAGGGAGUCUGAUUUUCACUCUGUGGUCACUGAAGGGCCCUGGAGUUUCAUUAUGAAGUGGGAAGAGUCUCUUAGGCCUCUUUUGUGUGUGGGGUAAUUCUACCAACAGAUAAAAUGCUGUUUUAUGCAAUGCUUUUCAUUUUUUUAAGACUUGGGACUUUUAGCGACCUGAUCCACAGAACAAAUUUUUCACACACAGAAAGUCCCAUCCUUUCCAUAUGUUUCAAACCAGAUAUACACAUUUCAGUUUCAUUUAUUUAUUCUCUUUAAAGUUUAAAAAUCCAUGGUUAGCCUCAUGAAAACUAUGCAAAGCAAUAUUAGUGCUUUCAUUCUGAUCAAAACAAACUAUAUUUUAAGAAGGUUUCCAUAUGCAGAAACUACCAAAUAAACUCAAUAUGUAAAUCAGUAAUAAUUUAAAGAGGAAGUUCAUGCUAGGGAAAAUUAUUUCAAGACAGAAAUGUCUGAAUAAAUAUGAAAUUGAAAUUGCAAGUUAUUUCAGGUCCCACAGAAGCUGAGAGAGGAGGAAAUAGACAAAAUAUACGCCUUGGAAAUUACAGGUUUUGUAAAAUUAACUAUAUUUUUAGAACUGUUUCUUCACUGAGUGAUUGGACCCUGGAAGAGAUUCCCCAGGGCAGUGGUCACAGCACCAAGCCUGACAGAGCUCAGAGAGCACCUGGACUGUGCUCUUAGACGUAGGUGGUCCUGUGAGGAGCAGGGAGUUUGACUCAAUCCUUGUGAUUCUCCUCCAGCUCAAAAUAUCCUGUGAAUCUGUGAUAAUAAUUCACCUCUCUUUGCAAACCCUGUUUUGUUUCAGAAAAUGUCCAACAGCUGCAUAAUUGAGCUCUUAGCAGUGCAUGUGUUCUGAAGGAGACAAAAAUGAUGACAUGUGACAUGAUGAGCUGCCUUUCCUUGCUAACAACUCGGAAAAUCAACAGAAAACGGGACAACUUUGCAGCUUUCUUACCAGUAAAAAGAGUUGCCAGGGUUAAAUUUGGCUUGAUCUGCAAGUGUCACCCCAGCUGCCAGACUUCACUGCCCUUGGGAAGCAUCUCAUGUGAUGCCUGGAUGAAUCCUUGCGGUGUUGGCAGAGGGCACCCCGCUUGUCUUCCUCGACAAUGCGUUCCUUGCCGAAAUCCAGUGAACUUCUGGAACAAAGAAGGCUUGUUUCCCACUGGCAAGGCUCAGAUCAAGUGUUUACUCUACAUGCUGAGAGUGCAGCUCUCCAAUGAACGCUGCCCCUGCCCAAGAGCUUGAAAAGAAGCUGAAGCAACAGGUUUUGGCCACCCUUCUGCAACUGGGGCUACACAGGUGGCUUUCUGAGCCUGCAACAAGGGAUGGAAGGAUCCAGCAUUUUGGAAAGAAGGCCUGGCUUUGCCACAGGGAAUCAUUUAGGUUGGAAAAGCUCUCUAAGACCAUCAAGUACAACUGUUUAUCCAGCCCUGCCAAGGCCACCACUAACCCAUGUCCCCAGGUGCCACAUCUACACGGCUUUUAAAUCCCUCCAGGGAUGGGGACUCCUACCACUGCCCUGGGCAGUUUGUUCCAGCUUGACCAUCCCUUUCUGUGAAGAAAUUUUCCGUGAUAUCCACUCUAAAACUCCCCUGGCACAACCUGAGGCUUCUUCCUCUUGUCCUGUUGCUCAUUACUCAGGAGAAGAGACUCCAUCUGGUUGCAACCUCCUUUCAGGUUGUUGUAUGAAGUCAUGGUCCCUCACACCUCCCUUCGUGGGAGAACAGAGCCCUCAUAUCAACACAACUCAGUGUUCAUCAUAUCUCGUGGAACAAAGCCCUGCUUGAAUCCAGGAUUAAAAGUGGAAGAUGGUGACAACUAAAGCCAAAUGUUUCAGAAACACCUCAGUAUGGAUCACCAGGAGGAAAGAGAGAACUCAUCUCUUUCAAACUAUAGUUCCUGAGAACAGGGAAAAAAAACUAAGAAAAGAGGUGGCAGUCAUUCAGAGUUUAGAACAGCAACAGUACAAUUAAUUUCUACAUUACACCCUCUGACUAAUCCACUUAUUUGAGAAAGAAGAAGAAAAAAAUUCUGCUUGGAUGGGUACCCAGUAAUUGAGAGCAAAAGAGGUGAUCCAAGUGUUGUUCUAGGAAAGGAAAACAAAUCUCGCUCCCAGUGACGCAGAUGGGUCACUGACGAGUUUCCUCAGCCAGGAGGGAUCUCAUUAAAAUAGACUUUUUGUGUCGUGGUUCUUGAGUCUGAGAGAGAAAAUCUGAGGUACACAAGUGCUAUAAGAAUUUUAAUGUCUCCUUCAUUUUUCACAUUUAAAUAAAACCAGAU
Long non-coding RNA from Myiozetetes cayanensis, 6015 nucleotides. RefSeq lists it as uncharacterized. The transcript has 10 exons. Lineage: Eukaryota; Metazoa; Chordata; Aves; Passeriformes; Tyrannidae. The record is from RefSeq and is a predicted model, not a curated record.